This 781-nucleotide ribosomal RNA is filed under the name uncultured bacterium. Its description in RNAcentral is "bacterial SSU rRNA". It matches the Rfam family "Bacterial small subunit ribosomal RNA", at positions 89 to 902 of the family's 1533-position model. The record is from RNAcentral.
GGGUUAGUGGCGGAAGGGUGAGUAACGAUAUCGAAUGUACCCCGAGGUGGGGGAUAGGCAUGGGAAACUGUGCGUAAUACCCCAUGAUCUCGAGAGAGCAAAGGCGCAAGCCGCCUUGGGAGCAGCGAUAUUCCUAUCAGGUAGUUGGCGGGGUAACGGCCCACCAAGCCUAAGACGGGUAGCCGGUAUGAGAGUACGGCCGGCCACAUCGGGACUGAGACACUGCCCGGACUCCUACGGGAGGCUGCAGUAACGAAUAUUCCGCAAUGGGCGAAAGCCUGACGGAGCAAUGCCGCGUGUGGGAUGAAGCGGUUUCGCCGUGUAAACCACUGUCAGGGGAUAGAAAAGAUGAUCAUCUCCAGAGGAAGGGGCGACUAACUCUGUGCCAGCAGUCGCGGUAAGACAGAGGCCCCGAGCGUUAGUCGGAAUUACUGGGCUUAAAGGGUGCGAAGGCGGGCGUGCGCGUGUUCUGUGAAAUCCCCGGGCUCAACCCGGGAACCGCAGGGCAUACGGCACGUCUCGAGGAAGCUAGAGGCCGGCGGAACGAUCGGUGGAGCGGUGGAAUGCGUAGAGAUCGAUCGGAACGCCAAGGGUGAAGACAGCCGGCUGGGGCUUUCCUGACGCUGAGGCACGAAAGCGCGGGGAUCAAACAGGAUUAGAUACCCUGGUAGUCCGCGCCCUAAACGAUGCGCACUAGAUCGGUGCCGGUUUCACCCGGUAUUGGUCGUAGAGAAAUUGCUAAGUGCGCCGCCUGGGGAGUACGGUCGCAAGGCUAAAACUC